GGUGUUUUGGCCGAGCGGUCUAAGGCGCUAGCUUAAGGUGAACCUCGCAAGAGCGUGACCCGCUAGUCCGAAAGGGCGUGAGUUCGAAUCUCACAGACAUCA
Molecule: non-coding RNA, 102 nt
Organism: Rhodotorula diobovata
Lineage: Eukaryota; Fungi; Basidiomycota; Microbotryomycetes; Sporidiobolales; Sporidiobolaceae
Source: the annotation of a GenBank genome assembly